GACGAACGCUGGCGGCGUGCCUAAUACAUGCAAGUCGAACGCUUCUUUCCUCCCGAGUGCUUGCACUCAAUUGGAAAGAGGAGUGGCGGACGGGUGAGUAACACGUGGGUAACCUACCCAUCAGAGGGGGAUAACACUUGGAAACAGGUGCUAAUACCGCAUUACAGUUUAUGCCGCAUGGCAUAAGAGUGAAAGGCGCUUUCGGGUGUCGCUGAUGGAUGGACCCGCGGUGCAUUAGCUAGUUGGUGAGGUAACGGCUCACCAAGGCCACGAUGAAUAGCCGACCUGAGAGGGUGAUCGGCCACACUGGGACUGAGACACGGCCCAGACUCCUACGGGAGGCAGCAGUAGGGAAUCUUCGGCAAUGGACGGAAGUCUGACCGAGCAACGCCGCGUGAGUGAAGAAGGUUUUCGGAUCGUAAAACUCUGUUGUUAGAGAAGAACAAGGACGUUAGUAACUGAACGUCCCCUGACGGUAUCUAACCAGAAAGCCACGGCUAACUACGUGCCAGCAGCCGCAGUAA
RNAcentral lists this ribosomal RNA (524 nucleotides) under uncultured bacterium. Its description in RNAcentral is "partial 16S ribosomal RNA". It matches the Rfam family "Bacterial small subunit ribosomal RNA", at positions 28 to 523 of the family's 1533-position model. The record is from RNAcentral.